Molecule: long non-coding RNA, 1849 nt
Filed under: Anthonomus grandis grandis
Lineage: Eukaryota; Metazoa; Arthropoda; Insecta; Coleoptera; Curculionidae
Description: uncharacterized LOC126736808
Source: RNAcentral
AUAUUGUAUACCUAGUAGGAAAAGCUUAACAUUCCCGGGCGAUCGUAAAAAUUGCCAGUCGAGGCGCAAGCCGAGACUGGCAAUACGGAGUCCGGGAAUGUGGCUUUUCCUACAAGGUCUACAUACCAUUUUUCCGAAAAUCGGGAAUCAUUAAAAUUACGGUAAAUUAUUACUAAUCAUGUUAAAAAUUUUAAAUCAACAUUAUUAUUUUUCCCUUAAAUAAAAGAAGCCAUGAAACAUUGUUUUGUAACUACGGAAACGAAGUACAUAAUUUUAAAUUGUCAAACUUGACGAGUGAAAAGUUUAUUUGUGGCGUCUUUCCAAAGUGUUGAUUUUUUAACGUUUUAAAAAGCCAAAGUAACGUGUAAAAUGAUGAGUGAUGAUGACUGUUCCAUUUCUGAAACCCUCUCAGAACUCACGGAGGCAGUGAAUGCUGCAUCAUUGGAAUUGUUACCAGUAAAAUCUAGAAAUAAGUAUAACUAUGUAUACAACCGCUUCAUGGACUACCGUACGAAUAAAAAUGUAACUUCUUUCUCGGAAAAUGUUGUAAUGGCAUACUUCUUGGAGCUUGGUUCCAAGAUGAAUUCUUCAACUUUAUGGGCCAAUUGUUCAAUGCUGAAGGCAACAAAACUUAUUACAAAACUUCAAAUUAUAUUUGGAUUCUUUACAUGCUUAUUUAUUGUUGUAGGUAGCUGUAAUAUUUGGAAUUUUCGGAGCUUGCAGAAUGGACGAGCUGGUUAAAAUGACUGUACAAGAUAUACAAGACCUACUAUCUAAACUUUUAGUUACCAUACCGGAUUCAAAAACCAAUACAUCAAGAUCAUUUAUAGUAAUAGUUAUUGUCAUACAAAUAAAAUUAUUAGUUUGGAAAAUAUUCAACAAAACAAUGCUAUUAGUUCCCAAGUUCUUCCAGUUUUCAAUACUUGUACUAAUUGUCAAAUAACAGUAAAUAUAACAAAUAAUAAGUAAUAAUUUUAAAAUAUAAUGUUAACCUUGUUUGUGCUGAAAGUUUUAAAAAUAAAAUUGUUUAGGAAAAAGCCUGUUCGCAUUUAUGUUCUAAGGUUUACUGUAUGGAAAUAACAUUUCCUUACAGUACAGAAAUGAAUAUUUCCUUACUGUUAUUUUCGGUUGCCAGGCAACAAUCAAGUUGGAGGAAAUAUUGACUUUUUCUUUCAAAUAUGUUGUCAAAAAUGUUAUUAUUUCUUAUCGAUUUUCGGAAAAAAAUUUUUUUAAAACAUAUAUUGCAUAUAUUACAACACAUUUAAAAUUGGGAAAUAUAUGAAAGAAAUUAUUACCAUGGAAAAGAAAGAUAGGUUUUCGUCUUUGUACUGAAGUAGAAGUAGAUAAAAAGAUAUGCAAAACGUAGAUUGGAACAACAUAUAUCAGAUUCAGGACAUUAAUGAUAAAAUUACCUUUUUAACUGAAAACUUAAUCAAUAUUUUUAAUUUUCACGCACCUGUACGAAGUGUAAAACUUAGCAGACCGCCAGCUCCUUGGCUUACGGAUACUUUAAAACUUAUUUUAAAACAGCGUGAUAUUGCUUUUAAUAAAUUUAAACAAAACAAAACCACAACUAAUUGGAAUAGCUAUAAAGAGCUUCGGAACUUUGCCCUAGCAUCCAUAAGGCGAGAAAAAGCUGCUUACCUAAAAUAGGUCUCUAAUCGGGAUACCAUAACUAUAUGGAAACGUUUAAAGAUAGCUGGAGUCAUGACAGGGUCAAAGCCGGAAUUGCCUAUAGAGCUGCAAGAUCCUGACAAGAUAAAUUAAUAUUUUUCAUUAAUAUUUAAACAAAACGGAGCUGAUCCGGGUCUCAUAGAUUUUUUUGAGUCAAAUAGACGUGAUUCCUCUG